UAGUGGCGAACGGGUGAGUAACACGUGGGCAAUCUGCCCUGCACUCUGGGACAAGCCCUGGAAACGGGGUCUAAUACCGGAUACGAGCCGGGGAGGCAUCUCCCCGGUUGGAAAGCUCCGGCGGUGCAGGAUGAGCCCGCGGCCUAUCAGCUUGUUGGUGAGGUAACGGCUCACCAAGGCGACGACGGGUAGCCGGCCUGAGAGGGCGACCGGCCACACUGGGACUGAGACACGGCCCAGACUCCUACGGGAGGCAGCAGUGGGGAAUAUUGCACAAUGGGCGAAAGCCUGAUGCAGCGACGCCGCGUGAGGGAUGACGGCCUUCGGGUUGUAAACCUCUUUCAGCAGGGAAGAAGCGAGAGUGACGGUACCUGCAGAAGAAGCGCCGGCUAACUACGUGCCAGCAGCCGCGGUAAUACGUAGGGCGCGAGCGUUGUCCGGAAUUAUUGGGCGUAAAGAGCUCGUAGGCGGNUUGUCACGUCGGUUGUGAAAGCCCGGGGCUUAACCCCGGNUCUGCAGUCGAUACGGGCAGGCUAGAGUUCGGUAGGGGAGAUCGGAAUUCCU
This 564-nucleotide ribosomal RNA is filed under the name Streptomyces sp. 424F08. RNAcentral describes it as "bacterial SSU rRNA". It matches the Rfam family "Bacterial small subunit ribosomal RNA", at positions 93 to 671 of the family's 1533-position model. Lineage: Bacteria; Bacillati; Actinomycetota; Actinomycetes; Kitasatosporales; Streptomycetaceae. The record is from RNAcentral.